RNAcentral lists this ribosomal RNA (301 nucleotides) under uncultured bacterium. RNAcentral's name for it is "partial 16S ribosomal RNA". It matches the Rfam family "Bacterial small subunit ribosomal RNA", at positions 509 to 807 of the family's 1533-position model. The record is from RNAcentral.
CAGCCGCCGCGGGAAUACAGAGGGUGCAAGCGUUAAUCGGAAUUACUGGGCGUAAAGCGUGCGCAGACGGUUACAUAAGUCGGGUGUGAAAGCCCCGGGCUCAACCUGGGAAUUGCAUUCGAGACUGUGUAGCUAGGGUACGGAAGAGGGAAGCGGAAUUUCAGGUGUAGCGGUGAAAUGCGUAGAUAUCUGAAGGAACACCAGUGGCGAAAGCGGCUUCCUGGUCCAGUACCGACGUUCAGGCACGAAAGCGUGGGGAGCAAACAGGAUUAGAUACCCCUGUAGUCCCUGUCUCUUAUAC